Molecule: ribosomal RNA, 2751 nt
Filed under: Rhodospirillales bacterium
Lineage: Bacteria; Pseudomonadati; Pseudomonadota; Alphaproteobacteria; Rhodospirillales
Description: 23S ribosomal RNA
Rfam family: Bacterial large subunit ribosomal RNA
Source: RNAcentral
AUCAAGUGUCUAAGGGCAUCUGGUGGAUGCCUUGGCGAUCAGAGGCGAUGAAGGACGUGGCAGGCUGCGAAAAGCUCCGGGAAGGUGUCAACAACCGUUGAUCCGGAGAUGUCCGAAUGGGGAAACCCAGCUCUUAGGAGUUAUCGUUCACUGAAUACAUAGGUGAACGAGGCAAACCUUGCGAAGUGAAACAUCUCAGUAGCAAGAGGAAAGGAAAUCAACCGAUACUCCCCUAGUAGCGGCGAGCGAAAGGGGACCAGCCCAGUGGCUGAAGUUUAAGAACCGGAAGUAUCUGGAAAGAUACACCAAAGUGGGUGAUAGUCCCGUACGGGUAGAAAGAACUUCAGUCCUCGAGUAAGGCGGAACACGUGUAAUUCUGUCUGAAUAUGGGGGGACCAUCCUCCAAGGCUAAGUACUCCUGAUCGACCGAUAGCGAACCAGUACCGUGAGGGAAAGGUGAAAAGAACCCCGAUAAGGGGAGUGAAACAGACCUGAAACCGGAUGCCUACAAUCAGAUGGAGGGGGCUUGUACCCUGACAUCGUACCUUUUGUAUAAUGGGUCAGCGAGUUAGUCUUGCAUGCAAGCUUAAGCCGUUAGGUGGAGGCGCAGCGAAAGCGAGUCUGAAUAGGGCGAUAUAGUAUGCAGGAUUAGACCCGAAACCCGGUGAUCUAGUUAUGGGCAGGUUGAAGAUACGGUAACACGUAUUGGAGGACCGAACCCACCUAUGUUGAAAAAUGGGGGGAUGACCUGUGACUAGGGGUGAAAGGCCAAUCAAACCGGGUGAUAGCUGGUUCUCCGCGAAAUCUAUUUAGGUAGAGCGUUGUGUGAAUACCUUCGGGGGUAGAGCACUGGAAGGGCUAGGGGGGCGCGAGCCUUACCAAACCUUACCAAACUCCGAAUACCGAAGAGUAAUGCACAGCAGACAGACUAUGGGUGAUAAGGCCCGUGGUCGAAAGGGAAACAGCCCAGACCUACAGCUAAGGUCCCCAAAUCAUAGUUAAGUGGAAAAGGAAGUAGAAGGUCCAUGACAAUCAGGAGGUUGGCUUAGAAGCAGCCACCCUUUAAAGAAAGCGUAAUAGCUCACUGAUCUAAAUAAGACCUUCCGCGCCGAAGAUGUAUCGGGGCUCAAACUAUGUACCGAAGCUUAGGAUUCAGCUUCUUCGGAAGCUGUCUGGUAGCGGAGCGUUCCGUAAGCCUGUGAAGGUCCCCCGCGAGGGUGGCUGGAGGUAUCGGAAGUGAGAAUGCUGACAUGAGUAGCGACAAAGAGUGUGAGAAACACUCUCGCCGAAAUCCCAAGGGUUCCUGUCCAAGGCUAAUCCGGGCAGGGUGAGUCGGCUCCUAAGGCGAGGCAGAAAUGCGUAGUCGAUGGGAACACGGUUAAUAUUCCGUGACCUGAACGUAGUGACGGUGGGCGUGAACCGUAUCUCCUUAUUGGAUUGGAGAUGCGGUGAAGCACAUCCAGGAAAUAGCUCGUUCAUUAAGACCGUACCCGAAACCGACACAGGUGGGAUGGUAGAGCAUACCAAGGCGCUUGAGAGAACUAUCUUGAAGGAACUCGGCAAAAUGCACCCGUAACUUCGGAAGAAGGGUGACCUCUGUUUGGGCAACCAGACGGAGGUGGCACAGACCAGGGGGUGGCGACUGUUUAUCAAAAACACAGGGCUCUGCGAAAUCGCAAGAUGACGUAUAGGGUCUGACGCCUGCCCGGUGCCGGAAGGUUAAGUGGAGGUGUGCAAGCACUGAAAUGAAGCCCCGGUAAACGGCGGCCGUAACUAUAACGGUCCUAAGGUAGCGAAAUUCCUUGUCGGGUAAGUUCCGACCUGCACGAAUGGCGUAACGACUUCCCCACUGUCUCCAAGGUAGACUCAGCGAAAUUGAAUUCCCCGUGAAGAUGCGGGGACCCCGCGGUUAGACGGAAAGACCCUAUGAACCUUUACUACAGCUUUACAGUGGCAUUAGAUUAUUUAUGUGCAGAAUAGGUGGGAGCCUUUGAGUCAGGGACGCCAGUCCUUGAGGAGGCACCUGUGAGAUACCACCCUUGAAUUGUUUGAUGUCUAACCGUGGCCCGUUAUCCGGGUCCGGGACCCUGUAUGGUGGGUAGUUUGACUGGGGCGGUCGCCUCCCAAAUAGUAACGGAGGCGCGCGAUGGUGAGCUCAGGACGGUCGGAAAUCGUCUGUGGAGUGCAAUAGCAUAAGCUCGCCUGACUGUGAGACUGACAAGUCGAGCAGGGACGAAAGUCGGUUAUAGUGAUCCGGUGGUUCCGUAUGGAAGGGCCAUCGCUCAACGGAUAAAAGGUACUCUAGGGAUAACAGGCUGAUAGCGCCCAAGCGUCCACAGCGACGGCGCUGUUUGGCACCUCGAUGUCGGCUCAUCUCAUCCUGGGGCUGGAGCAGGUCCCAAGGGUAUGGCUGUUCGCCAUUUAAAGAGGUACGCGAGCUGGGUUCAGAACGUCGUGAGACAGUUCGGUCCCUAUCUGCCGUGGGAGUUGGAGUCUUGAGAAGAGCUGUCCCUAGUACGAGAGGACCGGGAUGGACGCACCUCUGGUGUACCAGUUGUUCCGCCAGGAGCACCGCUGGGUAGCUAUGUGCGGACAGGAUAACCGCUGAAAGCAUCUAAGCGGGAAGCCUCCUUCAAUACCAGGACUCCCUAUCAGAGCCGUGGAAGACCACCACGUUGAUAGGCCGGAUGUGGAAGUACAGCAAUGUAUGAAGCUAACCGGUACUAAUUGCUCGAUCGACUUGAUUUUGAA